Long non-coding RNA from Vanessa atalanta (red admiral), 720 nucleotides. RefSeq lists it as uncharacterized. The record is from RefSeq and is a predicted model, not a curated record. The transcript has 2 exons. Lineage: Eukaryota; Metazoa; Arthropoda; Insecta; Lepidoptera; Nymphalidae.
UUGAUUUGUUAGUUAUUUCAGAGUGCUUAUCCGCGCCUACGUAUUCCGUUUUUAUUAUCGUAUCAGUAUAUACAUAUCAUUAUACAGUAUCAUUUAAUCACGUAAUUGAUACUGUAGCUAAGAGGCGUAUACAUAGUCUUAGUUUAUAUAGUGCUAAAGAAAUUGUUGUGUUUCCGGUAAACAGCCUAGCCGUCAAAGUGCCAAGUCUAUAAGGCCGCUAAUCUGGAGGUCCGGAAUUCCUGUCGGCUCGGUAAAAAGGCUUAUUACAACAGAUAGGAAAAUCGGGGUUCGAUGAUACGCUGAUGGGUACUAUUAGGUAUUAGCUCUGACCUGGUGCAUGGAGUACACAGCUAGCACGACUAACACGUGCAUGAUGUUGUGCGAAUUGAGGCAGCGGUCCACAGAUCCCGGGAACCAUUUCUCCGGGAUAUGUAGUGCUCCGAUAACACCACCGCCCAAGGAUACUGCAUCCUGGAAUAUAAAUAUAAAUUUUCUUUAAAAAUCGAUCAUUAGUUUACAUAUUGCAUAAAUUACUGAUAAUAAGGCAUGGGACCUAGAUUGUUAAUGCAAAACGUUGCAGAUCCUCAUAAAGCACUUCUAUGUUUUUCGAGUACUUUAUCUUUAAUUUGCAUUUACCUAAAUGUAUCUUAUGCUAAGCUCCAAAAGAUUUUUAUUAUAAUUUUAAACUCCCGGCAAAUAAAACUUGAGUUUUAUUCCUAA